This 497-nucleotide ribosomal RNA is filed under the name uncultured bacterium. RNAcentral describes it as "partial 16S ribosomal RNA". It matches the Rfam family "Bacterial small subunit ribosomal RNA", at positions 28 to 507 of the family's 1533-position model. The record is from RNAcentral.
GAUGAACGCUGGCGGCGUGCCUAAUACAUGCAAGUCGAGCGAACGGACGAGAAGCUUGCUUCUCUGAUGUUAGCGGCGGACGGGUGAGUAACACGUGGAUAACCUACCUAUAAGACUGGGAUAACUUCGGGAAACCGGAGCUAAUACCGGAUAAUAUUUUGAACCGCAUGGUUCAAAAGUGAAAGACGGUCUUGCUGUCACUUAUAGAUGGAUCCGCGCUGCAUUAGCUAGUUGGUAAGGUAACGGCUUACCAAGGCAACGAUGCAUAGCCGACCUGAGAGGGUGAUCAGCCACACUGGAACUGAGACACGGUCCAGACUCCUACGGGAAGCAGCAGUGGGGAAUCUUCCACAAUGGGCGAAAGCCUGACGGAGCAACGCCGCGUGAGUGAUGAAGGUCUUCGGAUCGUAAAACUCUGUUAUUAGGGAAGAACAUAUGUGUAAGUAACUGUGCACAUCUUGACGGUACCUAAUCAGAAAGCCACGGCUAACUACGUG